UACGAAGGGGGCUAGCGUUGUUCGGAAUCACUGGGCGUAAAGCGCACGUAGGCGGAUCUUUAAGUCAGGGGUGAAAUCCCGGGGCUCAACCUCGGAACUGCCUUUGAUACUGGGGAUCUCGAGUCCGGGAGAGGUGAGUGGAAUUGCGAGUGUAGAGGUGAAAUUCGUAGAUAUUCGCAAGAACACCCGUGGCGAAGGCGGCUCUCUGGAACGCAACUGACGCUGAGACGCGAAAGCGUGGGGAGCAAACAGG
RNAcentral lists this ribosomal RNA (253 nucleotides) under uncultured bacterium. RNAcentral describes it as "partial 16S ribosomal RNA". It matches the Rfam family "Bacterial small subunit ribosomal RNA", at positions 524 to 776 of the family's 1533-position model. The record is from RNAcentral.